GCGAGAUCUUUGGUAUAAAGUGCCAGAAAGAAAUUGUUUCUUGUUAUUGUUUUUCUAGAGACAGGAUUUAUUUAUAUUUGACUAGAGCUUUUUUUAAACCUGAAGAAGCAUUUCUGUUUGGCGCAACAGAAGGAUGGGCGAGAAUCAGCAGUCACUCAAACUUGAAGAAUGCAAAAAGCAAUUGGUACCCACAUCAGAUCCCGCAGCCUGUUUAAGGACACUGCCUACACUAGUCAAUUUACUGUUAUCAGUCGCUUCUGUAGGAUUUUGUUUGUUAUUAAAUGUUAAAAUGGCAGCUUUACAAGACAAAAUAAAGCUAUUGGAAAAUCAAAACGGAAGCAAUUCAUUGAAAGCAGCGCGAGACAAUGCAGAUUUGUUGUUUGUGCUACAGAAAAGGAUCGACAAACUUCAGGAGGAGUUAACUAGCACAGUUGGGAAAAUAAGGACAAUUCGAGAAGUUUCAUCUGAAUGUCUUUGUCCACCAGGUCCCCCAGGGAAGCGAGGCAAAACAGGAAGAAGAGGAGCCACUGGAUUCCCUGUAAGUGUGGUGGAUGCUACGGAAUUGAUUGGGUCUACUGAGUUAAGGAACCUCAUCUCCUUUGUCUAUGGAGAACCAGGAAGAGAUGGCUAUCCGGGCCCUCUUGGAUUGGAUGGAAAACCAGGCCUUCCUGGAUCAAAAGGAGAAAAGGGUGAUCAAGGUUACACUGGACCUGCUGGUCCUCCAGGUCCAACAGGUUCUGCAGGAGUCUCAGGAAAAGAUGGCCCACGUGGAUUUCCAGGAGCUCCCGGUGAACCUGGGAUGAAAGGUGAAAGUGGCACUCCAGGAUUAAAUGGUAUAGUGGGUCGUAAGGGAGACUUGGGACUUCCAGGAAUUCCAGGGCAGAAAGGCGACAAAGGAGAAACUGGUUCACUCGGUCCACCGGGUGAACAGGGUUUGAAAGGUGUUAAAGGUGAAAGGGGUGAUGCUGGUGAUAAAGGAUUCCCUGGUGUACAGGGAACUCCUGGUUCCACUGGUCUUCCAGGUAUCCCUGGUCAAAAGGGAGAAAAGGGAAAACCGGGUGAACCGGGAUUAGAUGGUUUUCCAGGGCCCAGAGGACAAAAGGGGAACAGAGGUGAAAAAGGAGACAAGGGUGAAAGAAGUCAUCCAGGCAAAAGAGGGCCCAAGGGACAGAAGGGAGAUCAAGGCCCUCCUGGAUUAGACCAACCUUGUCCAGUGAUAAGCCAUUAGAAGGGAAGUGGUUUUGACGUCUUUUUCCCUGAUGGAAUUUGCCUAAUGUAUGUAUUUAUCACUAAAAUAAGCUAUUUAGCCUAGUUACUCUUCUCCCUGUUGUAGUCUUAAGCAUUUUCUUCUAUUCCCUUGUAAUCUCAUGCAAUUUCCUUUAAUGAAGGACCUAAGUUGCUUGCUGUGAUUUGGUCUAACAGAAAUUACUUUAAAUAUCUGAAUAAUGAAGCUUUUUCCUUAAUUCACCAAAAGAUUUAUAAUUAACUAUCCUGAUUCUGCAGGCCCUAAUUCUUCCACAUGGUGGAAACACACGUUAUUUUAAAGAUUGAUUUUAGGUCAUCUGUAAGUUUUUUUUAACAGAAAAAUGCCCCAGCCUAUAGCCAUAAUCUUUCAGUUUUGACAUUAUCUUCAAAAGGUAUUUCUGCAUUUUACACAAUAUGUUCUUUCAGUAUAAUAACACACUUGUUUUAAUGAAUUAUUAUUAUCAUCUGUAAAUAAUACUACUAGCUGUAAUUGUGCUGACUAUAAUAGUCUACAAUUUCUGUUAAAAUGUUUCUUUAUUCGGAUGAAGGACAUGCAUACAGUUUCCAUGUAUAUUACAUUUGCCAAAUUUGUGGUGGCUUAUAAGGUGAAUGAAACAUCCAAGCCAAGUCACUGGAAUAUUAUCAAGCUAAAUUUAACACUGAAGGGUUGAUAUGAUAAACUUUAACUGUUAUCAAAAAGGAGGUGAAUCUCAGAGAAGUAAUCUUAGAAAUUAAAUCCUGUACUUUCUAACAGCUUGGACCAUAGCGUUGUGAGAAUUCAAUUCCUGCCUCACCUCAAAAUCACCAAGGCUAGCCCAGAACAUUAGGACAUGUAGAUCCAAGGUGUGUUGGCAAAUUGGAUCCAGAAUUGGCUUGGUUUUGGGAAGAAGUCGUGGUCGAGGGGUGUUUUUCUGGCCAUAACCAUCAGCGUACUGCAGGGCCUGAUGCUACAACCAUGGCUAUUUUGUCUUUUAUAUAAUUGGAUAAUAAUGCAGGUAGACUGAUUAGUUAUUUUGCUAACAAAAAUUGGUGGAGUGGUAGACAGCAUAGAAAGUUAUGAAAGGAUACAGAGGAACAUAGAUCAUUUGGAAAGAUGGAUCUUGAUCCAGACAAGUGUGAGGUAAUGCACCUUGAGACAGCAAUUACUAACAGGAUGUAUACAGUAAACAGCAGACCUUAGGAAUGUUGAUGUAAAGAGACUUCAGAAUGCAUGUUCAUACUCAUUGAAAAUGGUUAUGCAGGAGUAAGGGGUAAUGAGGAAGGCCUUCAGCAUGCCUGCCUUCAAAUGCUGAGGCACCUGAGCAUCAGAGUUGGGAUAUCAUGUUGCAGCUGUAAAAUGUUAGUCAGGCUGCACUUGGAUUAUUGCCUGUAGUUCUGGUUACUGCACGACAAGAAGCAUGUGGAAGCAUUAGAAAGACUGCUGAGGAUACUCACCAGGAUGUUGCCUGAAAUGGAGACCUGUACUUAUAGAAUGGAUGGGUUGAGUUUAUUCUCAUUGAAUUACAGGAAGCUGAGGAGUGAAUUUAUAGACAUUUAUAAAAUCACGAGGACCCAAUCAGCUAGGGCCCUGAUGGUCUGCCGAUUCCAGGAUGUUGGCACAAGUGAUUACUAAUCAUCAAGCAAGAGUGUGUACAUUCUACUAGCACUUCACCAUAUUGUACAGAACUUCAACUAAUAACGUGUUAAGCCUUGCAUAUUUGGACAAGGAUUGGGUUGUAUGGAACAGAAUAUUAUUCCUUAUUUUCAUUUUAUCCUUUUUUAUUAAAAGUGAAAGGAAAACAUGUUAGCUAUGAUAAAAAAAAAUAUAUUCUACAAUUCCAGUUGUGGAUAUUAAAGCACUAGUGCUUUAUAUAACUUCAAUUGAAGACUGUUUUAGUAACUUCUGGAGAUACCUCUAGGCAUUGUGAUAGUGGGAGUCUAAUUAUGAAAAUGAGUGUUUGACCCUCUCAACGAUGUUAUUUUGCAUGGAGCUGAUGUGAAAAUGCAAUUGCUACAAAACCACAUUUUCAAAGGUUCAUUUAAUGUCAGGCAAAUGUAUACAAUAUCCAUCCUGAAAAGCUUUCCAUGUUUAUGUUACCUGUACCCAUUCAGGCAAAUCCAGGAAUAGCUGGAGAGUUGUAUUCCUCGGUGUCAUCUCUUGUUCUGCCAGUAUGAUCGGGCCAUAAUUAUCAACACCUGGACCUAUUCCAGGAAUAUGAUCAUAUAAACUGCAGUUAGUGCUAGCCUGGACAUAUUAAUCAAGAUUAAUUCAGAUCAUUUUUUAUAAAUAAACUCAGAUUUUGCUUUUACUUAAUGGUUCAAUUAACAGCACUGCAUUCUGCAAUACCUGUAUCAUUUUGAUUAUGUUACAUAUAGGAGCUUUCAGAGCUGCCAAACACUGGAAAUACUGCCAAUCUUUGCAAUUCUUCAUGAAAAGCCUUGGGAGUUAGGGAAAUUUUUCACCUUGAAUUAUCAGCUCUAAAGUUGUAAGAGUAUAUCAGCCUCUAGCUGUACUCACAUUGCCACCUUCGACAUCAGUGAGAGUUCUCAUCUCUGAUAAAGAGUUGGCCACAAAAAUCAGCAGAUACUGUUUAUGAACAACAGUGCUGCCUUAAUGCAGAGUUUUCUAAAAUUGAAGCUCUCUUCAGAUUCUCAGCUUAUCUCUGCCUCAAUUUCAUUAUGAUAGGAACAAAUUUAGGCUGAAGAUAAUGGUUCAGGAACAGACUCUCGUGUGACAUGUCUAGUAUGGAGCAGAUGAAAUUAUCCAAAUUAUCCUUCAAUCGGACUUAAAGUAAUGCAGGUUGACUAUCCCUUAUCUGACAAUCCAAAGUGGAAAAACCUCCAAAAUCCAAAAUAUUUUUGCAUGCUGACAUGCCAUUAUAAAUGGAUAGUUCUACAAAGCACUGGAAGGUUCCCGGGUGAUGCAUAGGUCUAAGAAGUCUAAGAUCAGACAAUUCUAAGAAGUGACCUCAUGGAUGAAAUAAACAGAAUUUAAUUUAAAAAAAUAGAAAAACACGGCAUAAAGUGAAAAUUGCGGUUCUUAAGUAUAUAUUGAAUGAGUGAAUUCCUCAUUGGCGGAGUGAAGAUGUGCUACUUAAUGGUAUACUGAUCAUAAAACAAGGGAAGACCUAUCAUAAGACCAUAAGAUAUAGGAACAGAAGUAGGCCAUUUUGCCCAUCGAAUUUGCUCUGCCAUCCAAUAAGGGGUUGAUCAAAUUCUUCCAGUCAUCCCCACUCCCCUGCUUUCACCCCAUACCCUUUGAUGGCCUGGCUAAUCAAGAACAAAUCUAUCAUGAUGAACUGAAAAUUGAAGGUAAUUGUGAAUAUUCAGCAGGGUCUUUGCAGAUUUUUUUAUGGCACAGCAUUAAAUUUUUUUAAGAUUUUACCAAUUUUAAAGAUAAAGCAUCUGCUGAUCACAAAGCAGCAGAGAAAUUCAUUGAUGAGUUUGACAAGAUUGUCACUGAUGAAGAUCUAACACCAGAACAAAGACUACAUACUGUUUGUUUUUAGACCUUACAUAAAACCUUAAAAAGUAAAAUAAAAAUAUAGUGUACUAUAAACUAUUGAUCAUCCACGGCAUUGUAGGUGGAGACUGAAAGCCUGCCGUUGUUUGUUCAGUAGCUGAUUUGGGUAUUCUCCCAAUGUGGCUGUGUUGCUUUUAUUACCCUGCACACAUAUCUUCAUUAUAUCAAUGGUAUAUAAUAAUUUUUACUGUUAAGUAUGUAUUUGUGAUGAACAAGUGUAAGACAAAGACUGCUUACUGGUAGUACAUAAGUUUAGAGUCAGAAAUAAUGGUGAUCCCAAGCUAUCUCAUUAUAUAUUUCAAAAUCAGAAAAAGUACAAA
RNA transcript from Hypanus sabinus (Atlantic stingray), 5067 nucleotides. It is a transcript of the gene named collagen alpha-1(XXIII) chain-like, with no coding region annotated. The transcript is spliced from 18 exons. The record is from RefSeq and is a predicted model, not a curated record. NCBI's taxonomy places the organism in Eukaryota, Metazoa, Chordata, Chondrichthyes, Myliobatiformes, Dasyatidae.